CGAUCCGUAACUUGUCUGAGAGGAUGAUCAGUCACACUGGAAAUGAGACACGUGUCCAGACUCCUACCGGGAGCAGCAGUGGGGAAUAUUGGACAAUGGGCGAAAGCCUGAUCCAAGCCAUGCCGCGUGUGUGAAGAAGGUCUUCGGAUUGUAAAGCACUUUAAGUUGGGAGGAAGGGUUGUAGAUUAAUACUCUGCAAUUUUGACGUUACCGACAGAAUAAGCACCGGCUAACUCUGUGCCAGCAGCCGCGGUAAUACAGAGGGUGCAAGCGUUAAUCGGAAUUACUGGGCGUAAAGCGCGCGUAGGUGGUUUGUUAAGUUGGAUGUGAAAUCCCCGGGCUCAACCUGGGAACUGCAUUCAAAACUGACUGACUAGAGUAUGGUAGAGGGUGGGUGGAAUUUCCUGUGUAGCGGUGAAAUGCGUAGAUAUAGGAAGGAACACCAGUGGCGAAGGCGACCACCUGGACUAAUACUGACACUGAGGUGCGAAAGCGUGGGGAGCAAACAGGAUUAGAUACCCUGGUAGUCCACGCCGUAAACGAUGUCAACUAGCCGUUGGAAGCCUUGAGCUUUUAGUGGCGCAGCUAACGCAUUAAGUUGACCGCCUGGGGGAGUACGGCCGCAAGGUUAAAACUCAAAUGAAAUUGACGGGGGCCCGCACAAGCGGUGGAGCCAUGGGGUUUAAUUCGAAGCAACGCGAAGAACCUUACCAGGCCUUGACAUCCAAUGAACUUUCUAGAAGAUUAGAUUGGUGGCCUUCGGGAACAUUGAGACAGGUGCUGCAUGGCUGUCGUCACUCUGUCGUGGAGAAGUUGGGGUUAAUCCCCGUAACAGCGCCACCCUUGUCCUUAGUUACCACCGUAAUGGUGGGCUCCUAAGAGAACUGCCGGGACAACCGAGGAAGAGGGGGGGAGUCAUGG
This 921-nucleotide ribosomal RNA is filed under the name Pseudomonas azotoformans. RNAcentral describes it as "bacterial SSU rRNA". It matches the Rfam family "Bacterial small subunit ribosomal RNA", at positions 277 to 1185 of the family's 1533-position model. The record is from RNAcentral. Lineage: Bacteria; Pseudomonadati; Pseudomonadota; Gammaproteobacteria; Pseudomonadales; Pseudomonadaceae.